GUUGAACCGAACAGAACGAUGUGUAAGGCUGCAAAUUGUAUUCGCAACAUCAUCCAUCCACAUCCAUCUUUUGUUUUAUUGAUAAUUUUUGGCUGUUAAUAGGUGUGCUGGUACCCAGAAGGUAUACCGGUAUUAAGAAGGCAUUGUCAUGUUGCAGCAUGAACUGUCAUGAAGAUGGAUUAACUUAAAGAAUUCCACCAAAAUCGAAAGGUAUCAUCUGACUUUGUAAACAGAAAAAGCUACUUGCAGAGCUAAUGUGUAUUUGAAAAGAAACUACAAGAGAAAGAAAAGACGAAUACGGAUGAAGAGAUUGAUAAGUUCUGAUCCAACGUAACAUCCAUGUUACUGAUGAAAUCACCAUGAAGACUUAAGGAAGAAUAUGAACCAGAAAAGAUACCACAAAGUAUAGAAGAUUUAGGUUCUCAAAAGUAAAAGGUCAGCGCAAUCCAAAUCUAUCCAGUAGCAUGCGGAAGAAAAUUAUAAUUUUUUUUCUUGUAUUUUCGUUAUUUUCGUGAAAUGUGUUUACAAAAAUGUUUUAGGGCAGGGCUCUUCAGGUGCAUGGUGUUGUCUUUUUUACACGAAUUUGGUUGAUUUAGAUCUAGGAUGCCUGUUAGAGCUGCGUAGCCCGAAUGAAAGCAAUCAAUUGUUAACAUGAUCUUGAUUAAUCCUUCAACAAACCAAUCAGAUAUUAAAGGUAGUCUUC
This is a long non-coding RNA of Daphnia carinata, 703 nucleotides long. RefSeq lists it as uncharacterized. The record is from RefSeq and is a predicted model, not a curated record. Lineage: Eukaryota; Metazoa; Arthropoda; Branchiopoda; Diplostraca; Daphniidae. The transcript has 5 exons.